RNAcentral lists this ribosomal RNA (497 nucleotides) under uncultured bacterium. RNAcentral describes it as "partial 16S ribosomal RNA". It matches the Rfam family "Bacterial small subunit ribosomal RNA", at positions 28 to 507 of the family's 1533-position model. The record is from RNAcentral.
GAUGAACGCUGGCGGCGUGCCUAAUACAUGCAAGUCGAGCGAACAGAUAAGGAGCUUGCUCCUUUGACGUUAGCGGCGGACGGGUGAGUAACACGUGGGUAACCUACCUAUAAGACUGGGAUAACUUCGGGAAACCGGAGCUCAUACCGGAUAAUAUUUCGAACCGCAUGGUUCGAUAGUGGAUGAUGGUUUUGCUAUCACUUAUAGAUGGACCCGCGCCGUAUUAGCUAGUUGGUAAGGUAACGCCUUACCAAGGCGACGAUACGUAGCCGACCUGAGAGGGGGAUAGGCGACACUGGAACGGAGACGCGGUCAAGACUCCUGCGGGAGGCAGCAGUAGGGAAUCUUCCGCAAUGGGCGAAAGCCUGACGGAGCAACGGCGCGUGAGUGAUGAAGGUCUUCGGAUCGUAAAACUCUGUUAUUAGUGAAGAACAUACGUGUAAGUAACUGUGCACGUCGUGACGGUACCUAAUCAGAAAGCCACGGCUAACUACGUG